GACCGCAUGCCUUUUGCAUAAUGAGCUUGCGACUUACUUUAAGCAGCCAGGUUAAGCCAUAGGCGGAGCCGAAGCGAAAGCGAGUGUUAAUAGCGCGUCAAGUUGCUUGAAGUAGACCCGAAGCUGAGUGAUCUAUCCAUGGUCAGGUUGAACCUCCGGUAACACGGAGUGGAGGACCGAACCGGUGAGCGUUGAAAAGCUUUCGGAUGAACUGUGGAUAGGAGCGAAAGACCAAUCAAACUCAGUGAUAGCUGGUUCUCUUCGAAAUAUCUUGAGGGAUAGCCUUACGCCAUUGACUUACGGGGGUAGAGCACUGAUUGUCCGCGGGUCCUUACCGGGAUACCAACGACUGUCAAACUUCGAAUACCGUUAAGUUUUACCGUAGGAGUCAGACUGUGGGGGAUAAGCUUCAUAGUCGAGAGGGAAACAACCCAGAUCGCCGUCUAAGGUCCCUAAUUUAAGCUAAGUGGUUUGAAGGAUGUGAAGUUGCGUAAACAACCAGGAUGUUGGCUUAGAGGCAGCCAUCAUUUAAAGAUCGCGUAAUAGCGCACUGGUCGAGUGAUUUUGCGCCGAAGAUGAUCGGGACUAAGCUUAAAACCGAAGACGCGGAUGUACAGCAAUGUACGUGGUAGAAGAGCGUUGUAUGAGGAGCGAAGCGUGAAUGAGAAUGAGCGUGGACUUCAUACAAGUGACCAUGCAAGCAUGAGUAGCGAAAAACCGGAUGGAAAUUCCGGUCACCGUAAGACCAAGGUUUCCCGGGGAAGGUUCGUCCGCCCGGGGUUAGCCGGAUCCUAAGGCCAGGCCGAAAGGCGUAGUCGAUGGACAACGGGUUAAUAUUCCCGUGCCGCCUUAACGGAGUGACGGAGUGACGCAGUAUGCUAAGCGAGCUGGCUAUAUGCCAGUCUAAUGUCGUAGGACGUCAGGGGUUAAAUGACCUGACAUCAAGUCUGAAAACGGAUGGGACUCGAAGCCUUCGGGUAACGGGGAUUCGCUGAUGCUUUGCUGACGAGAAAAGCUCCUAAACGUUGAUGUUUUGGCGUCCGUACCGUAAACCGACACAGGUGGUCGAGGCGAGUAGCCUAAGGUGCGCGAGUGAAACCACUUCAAGGAACUCGGCAAAUUAGCCCCGUAACUUUGGGAGAAGGGGUGCCGAACGGGUGCAUAGCCCGGACGGUUUCAACAAAGAGGCCGCGGCGACUGUUUAACAAAAACAUAGCUCUCUGCUAACUCGCAAGAGGAUGUAUAGGGAGUGACACGUGACCAAUGCCGAAAGGUCAAUCGGAUCCGUUAGCAGAAAUGCGAAGCGGUGAUGUGAAGCCCCGGUGAAUGUCGGCCGUAACUAUAACGGUCCUAAGGUAGCGAAAUUCCUUGUCGGGUAAGUUCCGACCUGCACGAAUCGUGUAACGAUGCCAGCACUGUCUCAACGUGGAUCUCGGCGAAGUUGUAAUUCCGGUGAAAAUGCCGGAUACCUGCAGUAGGACGGAAAGACCCUGUGAACCUUUACUGUAAUCUGAUAUUGGCAUUCGGGUGUUAAUGUGUAGGAUAGGUGGGAGACUGUGAAGCAGACGCGCUAGCCUCUGUGGAGUCAACGGUGAAAUACCACCCUUUAUAACUUGAAUGUCUAACCUCAGCCCGUGAAUCCGGGCGGGAGACAGUGUCAGAGGGUCAGUUUGACUGGGGCGGUUUCCUCCAAAAUUGUAACGGAGGAGCACGAAGGUACACUCAGAGCGGUUGGCAAUCGUUCGAAGAGCGUAAGGGUAUAAGUGUGCUUAACUGCGAGACAGACACGUCGAGCAGAUACGAAAGUAGGUCCUAGUGAUCCAGCGAUAGAACGUGGAAUCGUCGUUGCUCAACGGACAAAAGGUACUCCGGGGAUAACAGGCUGAUAGCGUCCAAGCGUCCAUAGCGACGACGCUGUUUGGCACCUCGAUGUCGGCUCAUCUCAUCCUGGGGCUGUAGAAGGUCCCAAGGGUCCGGCUGUUCGCCGGUUAAAGAGGUACGCGAGCUGGGUUCAGAACGUCGCAAGACAGUUCGGUCCUUAUCCACUGUGGGCGCAGGACAUUUGACAAGAUCAUUCCUUAGUACGAGAGGACCGGGAAUGACUGACCUCUGGUAUUCCAAUUGUGUGUAAACACGCAGCGUUGGGUAGCUAUGUCGGGAAAGGAUAAGCGCUGAAAGCAUCUAAGCGCCAAGCCCCCUUGAAGACUAGAUGUCCCUGAAUAGUAAUAUUCCUGAAGGCGGGUCGUAGACCACGACCUCGAUAGGCCGGAUGUGUAAGAACAGCAAUGUUUUCAGCUUACCGGUACUAAUCCGCCGUGAGGCUUGACCAC
RNAcentral lists this ribosomal RNA (2330 nucleotides) under human gut metagenome. RNAcentral's name for it is "bacterial LSU rRNA". It matches the Rfam family "Bacterial large subunit ribosomal RNA", at positions 595 to 2925 of the family's 2925-position model. The record is from RNAcentral.